GAUGAACGCUGGCGGCGUGCCUAAUACAUGCAAGUCGAGCGAACAGACGAGGAUCUUGCUCCUCUGACGUUAGCGGCGGACGGGUGAGUAACACGUGUAUCACCUACCUAUAAUACUGGGAUAACUUCGGGAAACCGGAGCUUAUACCGGAUAAUAUAUUGAACCGCAUGGUUCAAUAGUGAAAGACGGUUUUGCUGUCACUUAUAGAUGGAUCCGCGCCGCAUUAGCUAGUUGGUAAGCUAACGGCUUACCAAGGCUACGAUGCGUAGCCGACCUGAGAGGCUGGUCGGCCACCCUGGAACGGAGACAGGGUCCAGACUCCUACGGGAGGCAGCAGUAGGGAAUCUUACGCAACGGGGGAAAGCAUGACGGAGCAACGCCGAGUGAGUGAUGACGGUGUCCGGAGCGGAAAACUCUGUUAUUAGGGGAGAACCACUGUGUAAGUAACUAUGCACGUAUUGACGGUACCUAGUCAGAAAGCCACGGCUAACUACGUG
RNAcentral lists this ribosomal RNA (497 nucleotides) under uncultured bacterium. RNAcentral describes it as "partial 16S ribosomal RNA". It matches the Rfam family "Bacterial small subunit ribosomal RNA", at positions 28 to 507 of the family's 1533-position model. The record is from RNAcentral.